CCUACGGGGAGCUGCAGUGAGGAAUAUUGGUCAAUGGGCGCGAGCCUGAACCAGCCAAGUCGCGUGAGGGAAGACGGCCCUACGGGUUGUAAACCUCUUUUGCCGGGGAGCAACGGGCGCCACGUGUGGCGCCACUGAGAGUACCCGGAGAAAAAGCAUCGGCUAACUCCGUGCCAGCAGCCGCGGUAAUACGGAGGAUGCGAGCGUUCUCCGAAUUUCUUGGGUUUAAAGGGUGCGUAGGCGGAGCGUUAAGUCAGUGGUCAAAUUGAGGGGCUCAACCCCUUCCCGCCAUUGAAACUGGGGAUCUUGAGUGGGAGAGAAGGAUGCGGAAUGCGUGGUGUAGCGGUGAAAUGCAUAGAUAUCACGCAGAACCCCGAUUGCGAAGGCAGCAUGCCGGCGUCCGACUGACGCUGAAGCACGAAAGCGUGGGGAUCGAACAGGAUUAGAUACCCGUGUAGUC
RNAcentral lists this ribosomal RNA (460 nucleotides) under uncultured bacterium. RNAcentral describes it as "partial 16S ribosomal RNA". It matches the Rfam family "Bacterial small subunit ribosomal RNA", at positions 338 to 795 of the family's 1533-position model. The record is from RNAcentral.